Molecule: unclassified non-coding RNA, 1428 nt
Filed under: Leishmania donovani
Lineage: Eukaryota; Euglenozoa; Kinetoplastea; Trypanosomatida; Trypanosomatidae
Description: gene:LdHU3.04.1470(CDS-product:Leucine_Rich_repea t_putative)
Source: RNAcentral
GAUAGAUCCAAGCGCGACUGCUCUCCCCCCUUCUCUACCGCAGCUGCCUGCGACUACUCCCUUUUUCAAUUUGUUGUGGAGCUGGAAAGUGUGUGUGCUGGUGUGUGCUUCCUCCUGUGCUCCGGUUUCGUUGUGCAGCCUCGACGACCUUCUCAGACGAUGCCGCCGAAACGCCCCACCAAGCCUCCUGGUGGCAAGAGUGUGCGCAAGCCUGCUGCCAACCGCACCAAGAUGCGCUCACUGUCCCUUCAAGAAAUGUACGUACGAUCGUGUGCGGAGAUGGGGCUGCGGCCCAAUAGCGCCUUUGCAAGCUUCCUGCCUGACAGAUGCGGCGUCGAUUAUGCCGAGGACACGGUUGACCUUAGCCGAAAUUAUGUGGGGGACAAGGGCAUCGUGCCUAUCCUUGCCACUAUCGAAAAAAUGCCCAACGUUCGCGCCCUCAUCCUCUCCGAAAACGGCUUGCGCAAUCGCGGAGUAGAGCUGUUGUGCGCCAGUGCAGCCAACCUGCCGAACCUCGAGUUCAUUGAACUCUCUGACAACUUUAUCAGCGAAGGUGCGGCUGUGGCUCUCUUCCGACUUAUCGAGCACCACCGCCAACUUCAAGUGGUCGUUUUCGAAAACACUAAAAUACCGGUGCAUUGGAGAGUCAAGCUGCUUGACAUGCUCGCCUCAAAGCGCAGCACGAGGCAGAAGCAACUCCGUGCUUCCAUCCUCGUGAGCUGAGAGGCGCGUCUUUCGAACUCUCCCUGUUGCACGCCACGUGGCACCACGUGGCUUUUUCCCACACAAUCUUCCUUACCGCGCUUGCUGCGCGAGAAAAAAAGGACGGAGAAACUAGAGUUUACUCUUCGAUGUACGUCAGCUGCUCCUCUGCCUCUUAGAGAGAGACACACAGGCCUCGAAACAAACAACAAAAACGACAUGAAGUAGCGCUACCCGAAUCAAAAACAAACAACGGCUGCAUGGCUACUGCGCAUGCCUCUACGUUGUACCCUCUUUAUUAGUUUCUCGCUCGAUCGGCGCUUCUCUCUCCCUCUUCCUCUCACUACUGCCAUCGAGACACACUCGCGAUGGGUACAAGGGGGUCGAUUGGAGGGUAAAAGGCGGUGGGGAGGAGAGCUGGUCAAUGAAAGUAGUUGAGAGCCAGGGGAAUGUAAUUGCUGAAUGCCUCGCCGCCACUUUUCCGCUCUUCGUUCUGAUUUCCAUGGCUGAGUGCAAUGGUAAGCCGCUGAAGGCAUGAUAUCGUACCAAGCCCUUUGGCUGCCACGAGGCCUUGCCCGCCACUUUGCGCCUCCUCACUGUCAAGUGGGCGUGCCCCCUCCUCCUCAUUUCUCCCCUUCCCCGCACGCACAUACGUGAUACUCGGUGUAUUCCUCUCGACCUGGUGGCGUUCCUUCGUCUUCCUCUCUUCCCUUUCAUUCCUCGCAG